RNAcentral lists this ribosomal RNA (344 nucleotides) under uncultured soil bacterium. RNAcentral describes it as "bacterial SSU rRNA". It matches the Rfam family "Bacterial small subunit ribosomal RNA", at positions 26 to 371 of the family's 1533-position model. The record is from RNAcentral.
AGAUUGAACGCUGGCGGCAGGCCUAACACGUGCAAGUCGAGCGGUAGAGAGGUGCUUGCACCUCUUGAGAGCGGCGGACGGGUGAGUAAUGCCUAGGAAUCUGCCUAGUGGUGGGGGAUAACGUUCGGAAACGGACGCUAAUACCGCAUACGUCCUACGGGAGAAAGCGGGGGACCUUCGGGCCUCGCGCCAUUAGAUGAGCCUAGGUCGGAUUAGCUAGUUGGUGAGGUAAUGGCUCACCAAGGCGACGAUCCGUAACUGGUCUGAGAGGAUGAUCAGUCACACUGGAACUGAGACACGGUCCAGACUCCGUACGGGAGGCAGCAGUGGGGAAUAUUGGACAA